This 886-nucleotide ribosomal RNA is filed under the name Colepidae sp. bTS2. RNAcentral's name for it is "SSU rRNA". It matches the Rfam family "Eukaryotic small subunit ribosomal RNA", at positions 285 to 1193 of the family's 1831-position model. Lineage: Eukaryota; Ciliophora; Prostomatea; Prorodontida; Colepidae. The record is from RNAcentral.
GUGCGCUAAAUCAUUCAAGUUUCUGCCCUAUCAGCUUUCGAUGGUAGUGUAUUGGACUACCAUGGCAGUCACGGGUAACGGGGAAUUAGGGUUCGAUUCCGGAGAGGGAGCCUGAGAAACGGCUACCACAUCUAAGGAAGGCAGCAGGCGCGUAAAUUACCCAAUCCUAAUUCAGGGAGGUAGUGACAAGAAAUAACAACUCGGAGUCUCACGACUUGCGAGAUUGCAAUGAGCACAAUUUAAAUCUCUUAGCAAGGAACAAUUGGAGGGCAAGUCUGGUGCCAGCAGCCGCGGUAAUUCCAGCUCCAAUAGCGUAUAUUAAAGUUGUUGCAGUUAAAAAGCUCGUAGUUGAACUUCUGGACGUUUGUGUAGUGGCUUCGGUCGGUGCACAGGCGUUCAUCCGUCUGAGAACCAUAUACGGCCUUUAGUGGUCGGUAUGGGGAUCAGGCACUUUACUUUGAAAAAAUUAGAGUGUUCCAGGCAGGCAAUCGCCUUGAAUACACAAGCAUGGAAUAAUGGAAUAGGACUAUGGUCCAUUUUGUUGGUUAUUGGACCUUAGUAAUGAUUAACAGGGACAGUUGGGGGCAUUAGUAUUUAAUUGUCAGAGGUGAAAUUCUUGGAUUUAUUAAAGACUAACUUAUGCGAAAGCAUUUGCCAAGGAUGUUUUCAUUAAUCAAGAACGAAAGUUAGGGGAUCAAAGACGAUCAGAUACCGUCCUAGUCUUAACCAUAAACUAUUCCGACUAGGGAUUGGUCGGGUCUUUCAAGCCCGAUCAGCACCUUAUGAGAAAUCAAAGUCUUUGGGUUCCGGGGGGAGUAUGGUCGCAAGGCUGAAACUUAAAGGAAUUGACGGAAGGGCACCACCAGGAGUGGAGCCUGCGGCUUAA